ACCCCCAUACCUUGAACUCUCCUCUGACCAAGAAUACUCUGACCCUAACUCUCCAACCUUAGCCCAAAUUCAGGCUCAAAACCUUGCUUCACAACAACCAACACAAUCUGAAGCAACUUCACCUCCCCCAGAACAAACAACCAACAUUCCUUCUGAAGACCAACCUUCUGAAACUCAACCCUCUGACCUCCACACCUCUGAUAUCACCCCUCCAAACACCUCCGCUGAACCUGAAGCUGAACCUGAACCUCUAACAUUAAAUCUCAGCCCUCCAACCUCUUCACCUCAAACCU
RNAcentral lists this long non-coding RNA (293 nucleotides) under Lathyrus oleraceus (garden pea). RNAcentral's name for it is "Pisum sativum (pea) long non-coding RNA (PSAT_LNC016065)". Lineage: Eukaryota; Viridiplantae; Streptophyta; Magnoliopsida; Fabales; Fabaceae. The record is from RNAcentral.